Molecule: long non-coding RNA, 1899 nt
Organism: Heterocephalus glaber (naked mole-rat)
Lineage: Eukaryota; Metazoa; Chordata; Mammalia; Rodentia; Bathyergidae
Source: Ensembl
GUAAGGGACCCUGUUACUCUCUGCCCCGGGUAUGGAGGAGCUGCGUCCUGGAGACCAGAGUGUUUGCCGCUGUCCUCAUCUUUCCUGGCAAGGUCCUGGUCCAAAUCUUUCUACUAUCGUGUUCCUCAGACCAGGGGCCGGAGGGAAGACCUGACCCUUCGGGAAUCUGGGCUCCUCUCCGGAGUGGGGAGGGCUGAGGGUUGUUCUGGAAUAGGCAAUUGCUGCUGCCGGUGAUCCUAUUUGCAUGCCAAUGGCAGAGCCUACAGGAUUUAGCUGAAGGGCUGGCCAGUCUGAGUUUGCAGCUCUCCACUUUGUCCACAAAUAAAGGAUCUCACCCCACGCACCACACAAUCACCCCAGCUUUCGUCCCGGGGUUCGCGUUGGAGCUGCCAGCUCAGCGGACCCGGCGGCUGCAACUGGAGGGACCUCGUUCUCUGGAAAGUGGGCACCUGCGAGCGCCCAGUAGCGUGAGUGGCCAGUUGGUUUCCACUGAAGAGGACAGGAAAGAGAUGCUGUAGACCGAAGGGAGGAAGAACAGAACUUAUACUGUAAGAUCCUUGCACUGUGCCUGUCCUGUCUUUAAGCCAACUGAUCAUGGACUGAAUCACCUAAAAACUGACCCUGUGCUCACAAAGAGGAGAAAUAGCAAAAAUAACAGAAGUGUCAACAGUGGCUACUGUUGUCCUACUGCCUGACUUCUCUUGAAUGUCUUGGUGCUUGCUGGGGUUCCAGAAGGAAAGGUCAAACAGAGGGUGUCAGUCCAUAUAUCUGUGCAUCACCGAUGGGCUUCACAUGCUUACAGCCUGACCAUUAGCAGUGUGGUAAAAACUUAAGGAAAGCAAAAGGGAGGAAACCGCCCCAGGCCAACUCCUCACCUGUGGACUGCACACUAAUCACCUCCAAGCUCUGUUUUGUUUCCCCUCAGCACUUGGCAGCGGAGGCUCCAACCAAGAAGCACACUGACAGUGGACUAGACCAACUGACUUGAGAGAAGCAGGUUAGAAUUGGAGAAGAAACCCAGUGCGGUGUCCACCAUAUUUCCAGAGUAAUAAUCAGGUCUCAUUUGGAGAAAGCGUUGUGAAGACUGCGUCACAGAGCAACUCGACUUCAGUGAUUCCAGCAUUACUUUCUUACAGAGACUGGCUGAGAGACAGUCACAGGAGACAGCCUCAGGGUGGGUGGGAACUGGACAUACAGCCCUGAGGAUUUUAAACUCUGGCCAGGAAGGACAUGGGCCCUGUCCUCUCUGGAGAGAAAAUAGGCACUGUGAUUGGGGCUUCCAGAGAGGCAGGAUCUGUCUACUGGAACCACCCGCCUACUGUCUACAUCUAGAGAGAUUAGUGGUCUAAUUGUUUUCCCCAUGUACAAAUGUGAACAACAGAUAUGAGUCAUCUUGGAUGGUUGCCACAUUCUGGGGUGUACAGACACAGGGAUGGAUCCCUGGAGCAGAAACGGGGCACCUCACAAACCCAUAGACCAUAAAGCUAAGCGGAGAAAAGGAUGACUUGCUGGAUUCAAAGACUAAAAACCCUAGAAAGAACCAUACAUUCAAAAAAAGAGACAAAAAAUAAUUGGCUCAAUUUUGUUUUCCUAUUUAUUUCCGUCAUUGAUUUGUGGGAGUCUUAUUUCUUUAUCCUAAUUUCUUUUUCUUUUCUUCUUUAUUUUCUUUUCUUUUCUCCUUCAGUUCCUUUUUUUAAGGUUCAUUUUCUUCUUUUAUUUGGCUUUCUGAUUUUUUCCUUUUCCUUCUUAUUCAUAUUUUUUUACUUUUAUCUAAUGUUAUUAAUUUCCUUUUGUCCCUCAAGAAAAUCCUUUAUUACACUUUUCUCCCCUACUUCUCAUCUUCUGUUAAUUUUUUAAAUUCUUUUUUUCAUUCUCAUUUCCCAUGCCUUUUAUCUUUCU